This 75-nucleotide transfer RNA is filed under the name Chloroflexota bacterium. RNAcentral's name for it is "Chloroflexi bacterium tRNA-Gly". It matches the Rfam family "tRNA". From Rfam's summary of the family: Transfer RNA (tRNA) molecules are approximately 80 nucleotides in length. Their secondary structure includes four short double-helical elements and three loops (D, anti-codon, and T loops). Lineage: Bacteria; Bacillati; Chloroflexota. The record is from RNAcentral.
GCGGGCGUAGUUCAGUGGUAGAACGUCAGCUUCCCAAGCUGAAUGUCGUGGGUUCGAGUCCCAUCGCCCGCUCCA